GUCCACGCCCUAAACGAUGUCGACUAGCUGUUGGGCUCAUAAAAGGGCUUAGUGGCGCAGCUAACGCGUUAAGUCGACCGCCUGGGGAGUACGGCCGCAAGGCUAAAACUCAAAGGAAUUGACGGGGGCCCGCACAAGCGGUGGAGCAUGUGGUUUAAUUCGAUGCAACGCGAAGAACCUUACCAGGUCUUGACAUCCUCGGAACUUGGCAGAGAUGCCUUGGUGCCUUCGGGAAUCGAGAGA
This 243-nucleotide ribosomal RNA is filed under the name uncultured bacterium. RNAcentral describes it as "partial 16S ribosomal RNA". It matches the Rfam family "Bacterial small subunit ribosomal RNA", at positions 793 to 1034 of the family's 1533-position model. The record is from RNAcentral.